AUUGAUAACAUCCUGAAUGCGCCUGAUCUCAUCUGAUCUAGAAGCUAAGCAGGGUUGGUCUGGUUAGUACUUGGAUGGGAGAUUUUUUAAUU
RNAcentral lists this ribosomal RNA (92 nucleotides) under Dasypus novemcinctus (nine-banded armadillo). Lineage: Eukaryota; Metazoa; Chordata; Mammalia; Cingulata; Dasypodidae. The record is from RNAcentral.